RNAcentral lists this ribosomal RNA (459 nucleotides) under uncultured bacterium. RNAcentral describes it as "partial 16S ribosomal RNA". It matches the Rfam family "Bacterial small subunit ribosomal RNA", at positions 338 to 794 of the family's 1533-position model. The record is from RNAcentral.
CCUACGGGUGGCAGCAGUGAGGAAUAUUGGUCAAUGGACGAGAGUCUGAACCAGCCAAGUAGCGUGAAGGAUGACUGCCCUCUGGGUUGUAAACUUCUUUUAUAUGGGAAUAAAUUGUUCCACGUGUGGCAUUUUGUAUGUACCAUAUGAAUAAGGAUCGGAUAACUCCGUGCCAGCAGCCGCGGUAAUACGGAGGAUCCGAGCGUUAUCCGGAUUUAUUGGGUUUAAAGGGAGCGUAGGUGGAUUGUUAAGUCAGUUGUGAAAGUUUGCGGCUCAACCGUAAAAUUGCAGUUAAAACUGGCAGUCUUGAGUACAGUAGAGGUGGGCGGAAUUCGUGGUGUAGCGGUGAAAUGCUAAGAUAUCACGAAGAACUCCGAUUGCGAAGGCAGCUCACUGGACUGCAACUGACACUGGGGCUCGAAAGUGUGGGUAUCAAACAGGAUUAGAUACCCCAGUAGU